UGAUUCCAGAAUCUUCCUGCAUGUGAAUGCUGGCUACACUCUUCUGGGUCCCGAGGACUGAGAAUUCCACCUGCCUUGCAGAGCUUGCAGCCUGUCGGAGACAGACCUGGAGCCAGACAGAGCAGCAGGUGCAGAGCGUUUCACGGGCUCCUCAGCUCCCUCCCACCUGGGGCGCCGACUCACCGCAGGUCAGAAAAGAGAUCUCAGACAUCUUCUUUCUGGAAAACGGAUUCACGCAGGAAGGUGAGCUUUCAAGGCUAAUAUUUGCAUCCAUCUUUCAGCCCUGUUGCUCAUGUUACUCCACACCACGCUGACUUCAAACAUCGCAAUCCAGCAAGUUAUAGGCGUCACCCUCAGCUCUUCUCAGGAACAGAAGUGGUUGUGUAAUCCCAAGGCCUGUGUGGAAUGUGGCAGCAGCUGAAACCAAAUUAUUAACCAUUUUCCAAACCAAAAUCCUGGAAAGCGAUAGCAGAGAUACUUGUGAGUGGACAACGAUAGUGAUCCAGAAUUUUCUCAAUCCUCUGACCCAAAUACAUCCAGUCCCUCCUGAUUUGAAAGUCUUUACUGACAUGGUUAAUGUUUUUCCUUAUGUACUUUAACAUACUCAAAAUUGUCUCCUUCCCUAGGUUUUUUGCUGUGAUGUAAAACAGGUGUGAGCAGAGUCAAGGUGGGGGAGGGGGGCUCCCUGGCUAUCCAGAGGUCCUUCCCCCCUUUCUUUAGGGGUGGGGGAGUGGGUCUAGCUGAGCACAGAGGAGGAUGUUUGGUUGCGUAGGAGAUGGUCUGGGAGACUCCCACACUCCUUCCCCUUGGGCAGGGGAGGAGCUCCCCCUCCCUUUGACCUCAGGGUUGAAAGGCAAAUGCCCUGUGGUGGUAUCCUGUGUGUCUGCCUGCCCUGCAUCCAGUCCCCUUCAUCUGGGAUUUUCCUCUGUGGAACCACUCCUGCCCACUCUCAGUCUUGGUCAGGGUGGUACUCGCCUAACCCCCUAUGCCAGAGUUGGAUAAUUGGGGUUAUAGUGAUUGGCUCACAUAACCAAAGCCAGGCCACCAAGCAUCAGUCCUGGGAUGUUUGCUGGAAUUCUCUAGAUAGAAGCAUUCCCUUCAUCUGGGAUCAAUAAACUUGAAGGAGGGGAUUCUGAAGCUAUAGGGUGACUGUCUUUGGGGGCAGUCAUUCAAGAGGAGAGCUGAAAGACAGACGGAUAGCAUCCUGUUGGUAUCAUUUGAGUCCCUGGAUCCAGACAAUCCUGAAACCAGGUGUAUCUCUGGUUUCC
Molecule: long non-coding RNA, 1268 nt
Filed under: Capra hircus (goat)
Lineage: Eukaryota; Metazoa; Chordata; Mammalia; Artiodactyla; Bovidae
Description: lncRNA (ENSCHIG00010026317.1)
Source: RNAcentral